This 28-nucleotide small RNA is filed under the name Bombyx mori (domestic silkworm). RNAcentral describes it as "ovarian small RNA-14575". The record is from RNAcentral. Lineage: Eukaryota; Metazoa; Arthropoda; Insecta; Lepidoptera; Bombycidae.
CGUGCAAUGCGAGGUGAGCGCGCAGCCC